Oncorhynchus gorbuscha (pink salmon) is the source of this 1139-nucleotide long non-coding RNA. RefSeq lists it as uncharacterized. The transcript is spliced from 5 exons. The record is from RefSeq and is a predicted model, not a curated record. Lineage: Eukaryota; Metazoa; Chordata; Actinopteri; Salmoniformes; Salmonidae.
GAGAGGGGUGUGCACUGUCAGAGGCAGCAGUACACCAGUGAAAUGAGGAGCACUAUCUCCCUACCAGCACAUUUCCACUGAGUGAGAGAGAGAGAGAAUAAGGGAAGGAGAAAUAAGGAGAAAGAUUGACAAAAAGAGUGUGAUCAUUUGUGUACAGCUGCAACCUCAACCCCAGCUUUGUCAUCACUGUGAACCUCAGUAAAGACAGCCCAACCAUGGAUCAGAAAAUCAAUGAAUGCCCCACCACCACCUCCCCCCAGAAGCAGAUGAAGAGUAGGUCCAAAUCCACCGAUGAGAUCCAGCACACCAAGAGGCUCUCAUCACAGAAAUCCCUUCCCGGUGGGCCGGACCUGGACAAAGUCAAGGAAGGCCCAGAAGGUUCUGAGACUCCCUCGUCCUCCACAGAGGAGCUGAAGUGAUGACGGCUGGGGUCCCUAAGGGAAAUAAGGCCAUGAACCUUCCAUCUGCUCAUUAAACAUGAACACAUACUGUACACACACAUAGACUCACAUACACACACACACAGUCACAUACCUACACACACUUAUACGUUUGUUUAAAUGCAAACACUGAAUUGAUAAACUGAGUUGGUGGAAAGUCAUGUGAUCAGUCAGAGAGAAACACACACGCACACACCAACAAGAUCUCACGAUUUAACCAAUUUGACUUCAGAUUCUGACGUUUACCCACGUUUCUCCAAGCAUAACAUUUAGACGCUGCGCCAAACGUCAAAUUUCGAAGUGUUUUUGACACCAUGUGUUGACUCCUGUUCAGCAUCACAUUUAAGGUAAGGGUUAACAUUUUGGAUAGGGUGAAGAUAUUAAGGUUAGACAUUAAUUCUGAAUGGUUAAGUUAAGGGUUAGGAUUUGGGAUAGGUUGAAAACAAAACAUUUAAAAUGUGUUUCUACCACUGGGAGAUAACAUGUGGCAUUCGGAUUCAGAGUCAUGGGAUUAUGUCCAUUAUGUCUCAUGGGAUUAUGUCCGCACCGCUGUAGCAAAACCCAAGCCUACAUGUUAGUAAUUAGUGCUCAUUUUGAAGUCAAUCUGGAGCGAUCUGCCUACACACACACACACACACACACACACACACACACACACACACACACACACACACACACACACACACACACACACACACA